CCUACGGGAGGCUGCAGUGGGGAAUAUUGCGCAAUGGGCGAAAGCCUGACGCAGCGACGCCGCGUGAGGGAUGAAGGUCUUCGGAUCGUAAACCUCUGUCAGCAGGGAAGCACGGUCACUGUGCUAAUCAGCAGUGAAUUGACGGUACCUGCAAAGGAAGCACCGGCUAACUCCGUGCCCGCAGCCGCGGUAAUACGGAGGGUGCGAGCGUUAAUCGGAAUUACUGGGCGUAAAGCGCUCGUAGGCGGUAUGUCAAGGCAAGGGUGAAAUCCCCGCGCGCAACGUGGGAACUGCCUUUGAAACUGGCAAACUGGAGUGUGUGCGAGGAUAGUGGAAGUCGAGGGGUAGGAGUGAAAUCCGUAGAUAUCUGGAGGAACAUCAGUGGCGAAGGCGACUAUCUGGCACAUAACUGACGCUGAGGAGCGAAAGCGUGGGUAGCAAACAGGAGUAGAUACCCCAGUAGUC
RNAcentral lists this ribosomal RNA (465 nucleotides) under uncultured bacterium. RNAcentral describes it as "partial 16S ribosomal RNA". It matches the Rfam family "Bacterial small subunit ribosomal RNA", at positions 338 to 795 of the family's 1533-position model. The record is from RNAcentral.